AAUGGACUUAAACUGGAAGUAGUCUGAGGACUCAAAGUGUUGACUGAGAUGCAUCUUUCCCCAGAGGGUCUGGAUUGUAUUGCUGUGGCCACUUUUAGCAGCAUCAUCCCUAGGGGUGCAUAAUCCCUGACACUUGCCCUGCCUUUUCUGGACGUGCCUGGAUACUGGAGCCAUCACUGCUGGGAAGUCACCGUCCAGCCACGGUGGAAAGGAAGGGAGGUGACCUUCCCCAGGUCACUCCGUGAGCUUAUGGCUGCUCUUCUCUCUCCCACUCAUCCUUUAUGAACUCACUGACCAGCAAGUUCCUCAGGGAACCAAAGUUCCUCGGCUGCUCUCCGUCCUGUGAAUAGCUGAAAACUGUGUUUGCGUGGUGAAGGCAGUGGAUACGAUUUCUAAAUUUCCUUUCACAGUGGUGCUCACCUGUGUGACAGCUGCCUGGCUCGUCAAGAGAACACUUGCUUUCCUUGCAAACUCACACCUCCUCCCCCUAUCCCUUGCCCUUGCUUGUACAGAGCAAUCAAAUAAAAAGGGUCUAAUGCAA
Pseudopipra pipra is the source of this 541-nucleotide long non-coding RNA. RefSeq lists it as uncharacterized. Lineage: Eukaryota; Metazoa; Chordata; Aves; Passeriformes; Pipridae. The transcript is spliced from 2 exons. The record is from RefSeq and is a predicted model, not a curated record.